GGAAGUAAAAGUCGUAACAAAGUCUCCGUAGGUGAACCUGCGGAGGGAUCAUUACAGAGUUCAUGCCCUACCGGGUAGAUCUCCCACCCUAUGUUAUUAUUACUUUGUUGCUUUGGCGGGCCGUUAGGCUCCGGCCCGACUACCGGCCCCGGCUGGUAAGCGCCCGCCAGAGGACCCAAAACCCUGAAUAUUAGUGUCGUCUGAGUACUAUAUAAUAGUUAAAACUUUCAACAACGGAUCUCUUGGUUCUG
This 251-nucleotide unclassified non-coding RNA is filed under the name plant metagenome. RNAcentral describes it as "partial contains small subunit ribosomal RNA, internal transcribed spacer 1, and 5.8S ribosomal RNA". The stretch from base 1 to 54 matches the Rfam family "Eukaryotic small subunit ribosomal RNA", at positions 1778 to 1831 of the family's 1831-position model. The record is from RNAcentral.